This is a long non-coding RNA of Ostrea edulis (European flat oyster), 2210 nucleotides long. RefSeq lists it as uncharacterized. The record is from RefSeq and is a predicted model, not a curated record. The transcript is spliced from 2 exons. Lineage: Eukaryota; Metazoa; Mollusca; Bivalvia; Ostreida; Ostreidae.
GAUGAGAUCGCAAAAACCGAGGUAUCGUGUCACGGCAGGUGUGGCACGAUAAAGACCCCUCCCUGCUCAAAGGCCGUAAGCGCCGAGCAUAGAUGUUUCGCACACUCUAACAUCAUGCUAGGUCAAAAGGUCAUAGGGGAAAAAAUCUUACAUCCGGGUCCUUUGUCAAUGUGAAACAGCGAACGACGACGGCUGCUCACCAACAUUUUACGGGUGAGACAUACUUUGUUUAAGCAUGUAAGAUGAUAAAAAUAUAACAUUCGUAAAAAAUACACUUUAAAGUUACCACUAAGAGUUGCAGAUUAGAAUGUUUCAUUCACAUUUGUUUAAUUUGAGCUGGUGAAGUAUAGGUUGUUUAUGUCUGCUCGCUACUUUCACUUGCGAUGUUUUCUAUCGAAUUACAGUCAUUAGCUCUCUAAAAUUAACCCAGUAAAGUAGUACAUUGCAUAGAGAAGUGAUAACAGUUCAAUAAUUUUAUUGACAAUGUGUCUUUUUUCUUUUAAAAUGACAAAGUCGUUUGAUUUAUCGGCAUACCCCCCCCCCCUCUUCUCUCUCUCUUCUGUGGUAUGCAGUACUGAGUAGCAAUAGCCGUGUUUCGAGUUACUCCGGAACACCCGGGAUUUUUCGUAUUUAGCCACGCCGGUCACGUGAUAUGAGCAAAAUGUUCCACAGGGGUACUUCCGGUUAAUUUUGUUUACACUGGUAACAAAAUUGUUUUUGACAAAAUAUAGAUUUUGCGGCACAAACUGUCGCAAAUCAGAUAAAGGAUAGCAAGGGAUAUAUAUUUACUUGGGAAGAUGUCAAAGUUUACCUUUUCCCAAACCCGGGGAAAGCGUUCACGCAGAGGAAACGAUGGCGUCAUUUGUGUAGAAAACCACGAGCAGCCGAAAUUGAGUGCGAUUAUUACAUUCCGUGAAAGCUGAACCAACAAAGAAACAUCAUUGUUCUAGCCAGUUUGCUUAUAUUAACUUUUAGGAAAACCAAGAGGUUGAUAACAAUGGCUGAUCUGCAUAUAAUGACUGCUAGUUAUUGGCUGGUAUGCAGUGAAAGGGAGCUAAAAAGGAGUAAAAAGUUCAUAUCAGCCAGGUGAGAAUUAAUUUCUUCUUUUUUGUGUGUUAUACAUAUGUAAUUCUUUUCUUUUGCUGCUUCAAAUCUUGUGUAUUUGAAAAUUUUCAGUCUAAUAUUUGGCAAUGUUAUAGGUAGUGUGGUUUAAAUAAACCAGUGUUAAGGAAUAUCCAGUAAUGGCAUGACAUCAUGAGAGUUUGGCAUACCGACAUUCAGAUGAUUAAUGAUGAAACUGAAGACCUCAAGUGAAAGGCAUGGAAAAUUAUCCUGUUCCCAUUAACCUGGAAAAGAGGAGGGAUGCCACAAUAUUGAUAAUAGACUUUUGUCAAUUUGAGAAGCAAAGAUGUAAAAAAAAAAAAAAAAAAAAAAAAAAUAAAUAAAUAAAUAAUGCUGAAAUUAUAAUUCAUGUAUUUGUUAAAAAUACUGUUCACUGUACAUACAUGUAUAUUUUUUUUAACUUAUUUGGAAAUACAUGAAGUAAUUCAUAUUAAAACUGAAUGUAUGAGUUUUCAUGAUUUUUAUCAAUAAAGCUUACCAUAUUUAUUGUACAAAUAUCUGAUUUCCCCUAUACAUUGUAGUCAUAUGAGAGCUUGCUUGCAUUCAGAGAUAUGACAUCAUGUAUAAAGCCGAGUUAAACAACUUCAAAAUCUACCCAACAUGUUUUAAAUGAACACAAAAGAUUCUUCCUAAUUUCUUCUCUCUUUUUUUCAAUUUUGUUCAUAAAUUUAUAUUUAAGUCAAUUCACCUUUUUCAAACUUUUGAUGCAUAUGACGGAUUUCCUCUGUAUUGCUAUAUCUAUCAGGCCCAGCACAAUCUCUAUAUUUAACUAUAUAGUUUUAUAAAGCUAUUUCAAACAGCUUCAUUAAGCUAGUUUCGAUUAAAUUUCUUAAGUGCAAUGACACAUAACAAUAUACAUGUACUUUGAACUAACCACAACACUAUUCUAUGUAUAGAUCAUAUGUCAUUUUAAGAAUUUUCAUGAAAAGAGAAUUUCUUUUGUAUUGAUAACUGUCCACUGCCUUAUGUGUGUCGAAGCUUUGAUAAGUAUAUGAUGACUUUACAAUGUGGAAUCUGUAACAACUUAAUAAUCCUAAACAUUUGACAAUUUUGAAUCAAAAUUCUUCCUAAGGUACAUAGUUUAAGAA